GACGAACGCUGGCGGCGUGCUUAACACAUGCAAGUCGAACGGUAAGGCCCUUCGGGGUACACGAGUGACGAACGGGUGAGUAACACGUGGGUAAUCUGCCCUGCACAUCGGGAUAAGCCUGGGAAACUGGGUCUAAUACCGAAUAGGACCACAGGACACAUGUCCUGUGGUGGAAAGCUUUUGCGGUGUGGGAUGGGCCCGCGGCCUAUCAGCUUGUUGGUGGGGUGAUGGCCUACCAAGGCGACGACGGGUAGCCGGCCUGAGAGGGUGUCCGGCCACACUGGGACUGAGAUACGGCCCAGACUCCUACGGGAGGCAGCAGUGGGGAAUAUUGCACAAUGGGCGAAAGCCUGAUGCAGCGACGCCGCGUGGGGGAUGACGGCCUUCGGGUUGUAAACCUCUUUCACCAUCGACGAAGGUCCGGGUUUUCUCGGGCUGACGGUAGGUGGAGAAGAAGCACCGGCCAACUACGUG
This 474-nucleotide ribosomal RNA is filed under the name uncultured bacterium. Its description in RNAcentral is "partial 16S ribosomal RNA". It matches the Rfam family "Bacterial small subunit ribosomal RNA", at positions 28 to 507 of the family's 1533-position model. The record is from RNAcentral.